This 574-nucleotide ribosomal RNA is filed under the name uncultured bacterium. RNAcentral describes it as "partial 16S ribosomal RNA". It matches the Rfam family "Bacterial small subunit ribosomal RNA", at positions 355 to 920 of the family's 1533-position model. The record is from RNAcentral.
UGGGGAAUUUUGGACAAUGGGCGAAAGCCUGAUCCAGCAAUGCCGCGUGUGCGAAGAAGGCCUUCGGGUUGUAAAGCACUUUUGUCCGGAAAGAAAUCCUUGGCUCUAAUACAGUCGGGGGAUGACGGUACCGGAAGAAUAAGCACCGGCUAACUACGUGCCAGCAGCCGCGGUAAUACGUAGGGUGCAAGCGUUAAUCGGAAUUACUGGGCGUAAAGCGUGCGCAGGCGGUUUGCUAAGACCGAUGUGAAAUCCCCGGGCUCAACCUGGGAACUGCAUUGGUGACUGGCAGGCUAGAGUAUGGCAGAGGGGGGUAGAAUUCCACGUGUAGCAGUGAAAUGCGUAGAGAUGUGGAGGAAUACCGAUGGCGAAGGCAGCCCCCCUGGGCCAAAUACUGACGCUCAUGCACGAAAAGCGUGGGGAGCAAACAGGAUUAGAUACCCUGGUAGUCCACGCCCUAAACGAUGUCAACUAGUUGUUGGGGAUUCAUUUCCUAGUAACGUAGCUAACGCGUGAAGUUGACCGCCUGGGGAGUACGGUCGCAAGAUUAAAACUCAAAUGAAUUGACGGGGUC